GAGAGGAAAAAUUUCCUUUUAGCAAGAAAAACCUCUAGCAGAACCAGACUCAGCAUGAGCCGCCAUCCGACUGACUGGACUGACUGGAGUUUGAGAGGAAAGAAAGGAGACAGAAAUUACUUUUGUGCAAAAGAAAGUCAAACAAUGUACAGAGUUCUGAGUUCGGUGAAUGGCUUCAACCAGAAGAGUGAAACAAAGAAACGAUUGGCCAGGAACACUUUCCAUGGAAACACGAGUGCACAAGGGAACCGACAGCAAAAGCUCCCACAAGGCUUCCAGGAAAGAGACAGAAUCACAGAAUCACUUGCCAGGAGUACUUUCUAUGGGAAAUGGAAACGGAAAGAGUCCGCAUAGUUUAUGCCAGAACUCAGUCAGGGGUUUUGUCCACAAGAGAAAAUCACCUAAAUAAAGAAGCAGUGGCCAAGAGCGCUUACUCUAGAACAAAAUAUGGACAAUACACAGAUGAACAGCUCAGUCGAUGGCUAAAUUCAGGUAAGACAUAGUUAAACAAAAAGUGUCUACGGUAGAAGGACUUUCUUAAAAGAAAGAAAAUAAAAUAGUGGACAAAAAAUUAUAGCAGCAGAAACUCUUUCCUACAGACGUUGACAUAGCUUAGAUCACUUUGUUUAUCCUUUCAGAAUUAUAAUCCUUGGAAUUGUAUCUACCUGAUGACUUUCUACACACGCUAGUGUAAUAUGUCACUACACCUCCUAGUUUAGUUACUUUCAUUUUAGCUUUCCCUAAAAGAUUUUUCAAGAUAGUGUUGCCAAUCUUUUUUGCCAAUCUCUGUCUCUGAGACCGACAGAGAAAUUAUGUAAGAUCUCCUAAAUUAUGGUAUGUUUUUACCCCAGUCUACAGAGAUAACAAAGCCAACAUAGAAAAGAGAUUCUACUUAGCCUUUUUCACAUUCCUCUAGUUACCUUUGUCACGCAUGAUGGAGUGUGGGGUUUACAAACCUGGCCUCCAGAACCUCUUUUGCUGACCCCGUUCAGUAGAGCCGCCAUUCCUCUUUUUGUGUGAGUGUAUGUAGUGACACCCUGCUUUUCAGUUCUGCUCCAGUCUGACAUUGUGCAGGGAUGAGAAGGACCAGACCUUAGAUGUCGCAAGCAGCGCCUGAUCUGGUUUUUAAAAGCACAUUCAGAGCCAUGCACCACAGAUUUCUGCUCGGGUUGCUGUGCUUUCUGGGACUCUCUGAGCUUAAUCAAAAUGACUAAGCUCAGGCUUUCUGUCGUGAAAAGCAGUCUAUUUCCUAAGCUUCAGAGCCAAAGCAUCAAUCAUUCAUUUAGAAAUCUUGAAUCCUUCAGAUAAAAUUGCUAGGACUUCUUUUGUGCUUUUGUGCUCUUUAAAUCUCCCUUUUUGUUAUUUUAUUUCUUUUCUAUCCAU
Long non-coding RNA from Xiphophorus hellerii (green swordtail), 1383 nucleotides. RefSeq lists it as uncharacterized. NCBI's taxonomy places the organism in Eukaryota, Metazoa, Chordata, Actinopteri, Cyprinodontiformes, Poeciliidae. The record is from RefSeq and is a predicted model, not a curated record. The transcript is spliced from 3 exons.